AUUGAACGCUGGCGGCAUGCCUAACACAUGCAAGUCGAGCGGAUGAAGGGAGCUUGCUCCUGGAUUCAGCGGCGGACGGGUGAGUAAUGCCUAGGAAUCUACCUGCUCUUGGGGGAUAACGUCCGGAAACGGGCGCUAAUACCGCAUACGUCCUGAGGGAGAAAGUGGGGGAUCUUCGGACCUCGCGCUAUCGGAUGAGCCUAGGUCGGAUUAGCUAGUUGGUGGGGUAAAGGCCUACCAAGGCGACGAUCCGUAACUGGUCUGAGAGGAUGAUCAGUCACACUGGAACUGAGACACGGUCCAGACUCCUACGGGAGGCAGCAGUGGGGAAUAUUGGACAAUGGGCGAAAGCCUGAUCCAGCCAUGCCGCGUGUGUGAAGAAGGUCUUCGGAUUGUAAAGCACUUUAAGUUGGGAGGAAGGGCAGUAAGUUAAUACCUUGCUGUUUUGACGGUACCAACAGAAUAAGCACCGGCUAACUUCGUG
This 484-nucleotide ribosomal RNA is filed under the name uncultured bacterium. Its description in RNAcentral is "partial 16S ribosomal RNA". It matches the Rfam family "Bacterial small subunit ribosomal RNA", at positions 30 to 507 of the family's 1533-position model. The record is from RNAcentral.